GUGGGGAAUAUUGCGCAAUGGAGGCAACUCUGACGCAGCCAUGCCGCGUGCAGGAAGAAGGCGCUACGCGUUGUAAACUGCUUUUAACCGGGAAGAAACCCCAGGACGUGUCCUGGGUUGACGGUACCGGAGGAAUAAGCACCGGCUAACUUCGUGCCAGCAGCCGCGGUAAUACGAAGGGUGCAAGCGUUAUCCGGAUUCAUUGGGUUUAAAGGGUGCGUAGGCGGAGCGUUAAGUCAGUGGUGAAAUCCUGCAGCUUAACUGUAGACUUGCCAUUGAUACUGGCGCUCUUGAGUGCGCUUGAAGUGGGCGGAAUGUGCCGUGUAGCGGUGAAAUGCUUAGAUAUGGCACAGAACACCAAUUGCGAAGGCAGCUCACUAAGGCGAUACUGACGCUGAGGCACGAAAGCGUGGGGAUCGAACAGGAUUAGAAACCCGAGUAGUCC
RNAcentral lists this ribosomal RNA (445 nucleotides) under uncultured bacterium. Its description in RNAcentral is "bacterial SSU rRNA". It matches the Rfam family "Bacterial small subunit ribosomal RNA", at positions 354 to 796 of the family's 1533-position model. The record is from RNAcentral.